AUGUUUGGCACUACGUUGUGUCCUGACAACAUUUGGCAAGCUUAUGUGUGGUGCUUUACGUUUUUUCCUGGAGGAGAAGAGUUUUACGCAGUGGGGAUUGCGACUGUGUGUUGGGCGAUAUGGUCUUGCAGCAAUAGAGCUACUUUCGAAUGCAAACCUCUUAAAAUCCCGUUUGAAUGCAUCUUUUCUUCUUGUGCUUUACUUUGUUACUGGGCAGGGCUGCUGAAGCAAGAGGACGCUGCAAGCAUGAGGGAUGGGGCAAAGAUGUUGAAGGAGAACGCAUCAAUGAUGAGGCCGGGUGUAUGCUCAUUAUGGUUGUAUUGUCUUGAUGCUUCAUUUUGA
This 342-nucleotide ribosomal RNA is filed under the name Triticum aestivum (bread wheat). Its description in RNAcentral is "partial small subunit ribosomal RNA". The record is from RNAcentral. Lineage: Eukaryota; Viridiplantae; Streptophyta; Magnoliopsida; Poales; Poaceae.